GUCUGGUGCCAGCAGCCGCGGUAAUUCCAGCUCCAAUAGCGUAUAUUAAAGUUGUUGCAGUUAAAAAGCUCGUAGUUGAACCUUGGGCCUGGUUGGCCGGUCCGCCUCACCGCGUGCACUGGUCCGACCGGGUCUUUCCUUCUGGGGAGCCGCAUGCCCUUCACUGGGUGUGUCGGGGAACCAGGACUUUUACUUUGAAAAAAUUAGAGUGUUCAAAGCAGGCCUAUGCUCGAAUACAUUAGCAUGGAAUAAUAGAAUAGGACGUGUGGUUCUAUUUUGUUGGUUUCUAGGACCGCCGUAAUGAUUAAUAGGGAUAGUCGGGGGCAUCAGUAUUCAAUUGUCAGAGGUGAAAUUCUUGGAUUUAUUGAAGACUAACUACUGCGAAAGCAUUUGCCAAGGAUGUUUUCAUUAAUCAGUGAACGAAAGUUAGGGGAUCGAAGACGAUCAGAUACCGUCGUAGUCUUAACCAUAAACUAUGCCGACUAGGGAUCGGGCGAUGUUAUCUUUUUGACUCGCUCGGCACCUCACGAGAAAUGAAAGUCUUUGGGUUCUGG
Molecule: ribosomal RNA, 554 nt
Filed under: Botrytis cinerea
Lineage: Eukaryota; Fungi; Ascomycota; Leotiomycetes; Helotiales; Sclerotiniaceae
Description: SSU rRNA
Rfam family: Eukaryotic small subunit ribosomal RNA
Source: RNAcentral